RNAcentral lists this ribosomal RNA (320 nucleotides) under uncultured eukaryote. RNAcentral's name for it is "partial 18S ribosomal RNA". It matches the Rfam family "Eukaryotic small subunit ribosomal RNA", at positions 1470 to 1796 of the family's 1831-position model. The record is from RNAcentral.
CCCUUAGAUGUUCUGGGCUGCACGCGUGCUACAAUGGCGCUUGCAACAAGAUUGCCAACCCGAAAGGGUGAGCGGAUCUUUGAAGUGGCGUCGUGAUCGGGACAGUUGAUUGCAAUUAUUCGACUCGAACGAGGAAUUCCUUGUAAUCGCGAUUCAUCAUAUCGCGCUGAAUACGUCCCUGCCCUUUGUACACACCGCCCGUCGCUCCUACCGAUUGAGCGAUCCGGUGAAUGUUUUGGGCUGGUGUCCGCAAGCGUUUCGCUUCGGACGCUACGAAAUUUUGUAAACCUUAUCGCUUAGAGGAAGGAAAAGUCGUAACA